GUGUCACAUUUGGAUCAGGAAUUCUUCGAAGUUACUUUUUUUGGCUGGGUUUGUGUUGCUAAGUCUUUAUUGUUCUGUGCUGUGUUCCAUACAUUGACCUUUUUCGUUUGUUUGUGCGCUAUGGCAUUGUCAAUUUGUUUUCGACAUAAAUUUGAAUAUGUCUUUGGUAUGAUCUUCCGCUCUCCUUUAUGGCACAUUCAGCAGAAAAAAAGCCUAUGUAUUUAAUGCUGUUAUUAUCAGCAAGUACACAUGAACUAUUAUUCCAUGUAACAAUAAGUUUGAUUAAAAUGGGUGUUUUUUUUUCUCUUAAACUAUGUGGUCAUUCGUCUAAAUGUUAGCAGCUGU
This 345-nucleotide long non-coding RNA is filed under the name Mytilus galloprovincialis (Mediterranean mussel). Lineage: Eukaryota; Metazoa; Mollusca; Bivalvia; Mytilida; Mytilidae. The record is from RNAcentral.